UCAAACUUGGUCAUUUAGAGGAAGUAAAAGUCGUAACAAGGUUUCCGUAGGUGAACCUGCGGAAGGAUCAUUACCGAGUGACGGGGCCUAGCCCCGCUCUCCCACCCCCUGUAGUGUACCGAGCGAGGCGGCCGCGCCCUGCGCUGGCCGCCCCUAGAAGACCCCGAGAUGGACUUUGCUCUGACUGCAUUGAGAAAUCAGAUGAAAACUUUCAACAACGGAUCUCUUGGUUCCGGCAUCGAUGAAGAACGCAGC
This 255-nucleotide unclassified non-coding RNA is filed under the name uncultured fungus. RNAcentral's name for it is "partial contains small subunit ribosomal RNA, internal transcribed spacer 1, and 5.8S ribosomal RNA". The stretch from base 1 to 73 matches the Rfam family "Eukaryotic small subunit ribosomal RNA", at positions 1759 to 1831 of the family's 1831-position model. Lineage: Eukaryota; Fungi. The record is from RNAcentral.